AGGUAAACUUCGCCCAGAUUAGACUUAAUUAUUGCAGUCACUGGGUAAAGUUUGUCCGUUG
This 61-nucleotide microRNA precursor is filed under the name Daphnia magna. RNAcentral's name for it is "Dma-Mir-3_pre stem-loop". Lineage: Eukaryota; Metazoa; Arthropoda; Branchiopoda; Diplostraca; Daphniidae. The record is from RNAcentral.